This 72-nucleotide transfer RNA is filed under the name Ovis aries (sheep). It matches the Rfam family "tRNA". Rfam says of the family: Transfer RNA (tRNA) molecules are approximately 80 nucleotides in length. Their secondary structure includes four short double-helical elements and three loops (D, anti-codon, and T loops). Lineage: Eukaryota; Metazoa; Chordata; Mammalia; Artiodactyla; Bovidae. The record is from Rfam by way of RNAcentral.
UCCCUGGUGGCUUAGACGGUAAAGCAUCUGCCUGCAAUGCAGGAGACCCGGGUUUGAUUCCUGGGUUGGGAA